This 537-nucleotide small RNA is filed under the name Dacrymyces longistipitatus. Its description in RNAcentral is "eukaryotic LSU rRNA". The stretch from base 153 to 307 matches the Rfam family "5.8S ribosomal RNA". The record is from RNAcentral. Lineage: Eukaryota; Fungi; Basidiomycota; Dacrymycetes; Dacrymycetales; Dacrymycetaceae.
GUAACAUGGUUUCCGUAGGUGAACCUGCGGAAGGAUCAUUAAUGAAGCAGCCUAAAACUCUACUUCAUACACCUCCAGUGAACUGUCCGGCCUAGCCGUAUAUACCAACUCUAAUGUUGUCAAUGAAUGUCUAUGUUAUACAUAACAAAUAUAACUUUUAGCAACGGAUCUCUUGGCUCUCGCAUCGAUGAAGAACGCAGCGAAAUGCGAUAAGUAAUGUGAAUUGCAGAAUUCAGUGAAUCAUCGAAUCUUUGAACGCACCUUGCGCCCCUGCCCUUCUGGGCCCGGCAUGCCAACUUGAGCGCCUUAAAAUACUUGCACUUGUAGCUUUCGCUACCUGGGCAGAUUUGAGCGUCUUGCCGACUUUCGGCUCGCUCUGAAUGCAUCAGCGACUUGAAAGCUUGAAGCAACGUGAUAAGUAUCUUCGUUGUGACUCGCAUUAAAGACGCUUCUAAUCGUCUUCGGACAAUACCAAAGGCUAGGCAUCAGAUUGGUAGGACUACCCGCUGAACUUAAGCAUAUCAAUAGCGGGAGGAA